AAGGCGACGGCACAUGGAACUGAGAACGCCAGGAUUCUUACCGAAGGCAGCAAGUGGGAAUAUGCACCAAUUGGCCGAAGCUUGAUGCAGCGACGCCGCGUGAGGGAUGACGCCUCGGUGUAAACCUCUUUCAGCAGGGAAGAAGCGAAAGUGACGGUACCUGCAAGAAGAAGCGCCGGCUAACUACGUGCCAGCAGCCGCGGUAAUAACGUAGGGCGCAAGCGUUGUCCGGGAAUUAUUGGGCGUAAAGAGCUCGUAGGCGGCUUGUCGCGUCGGUUGUGAAAAGCCCGGGGCUUAACCCCGGGUCUGCAGUCGAUACGGGCAGGCUAGAGUUCGGUAGGGGAGAUCGGAAUUCCUGGUGUAGCGGUGAAAUGCGCAGAUAUCAGGAGGAACACCGGUGGCGAAGGCGGAUCUCUGGGCCGAUACUGACGCUGAGGAGCGAAAGCGUGGGGAGCGAACAGGAUUAGAUACCCUGGUAGUCCACGCCGUAAACGGUGGGCACUAGGUGUGGGCAACAUUCCACGUUGUCCGUGCCGCAGCUAACGCAUUAAGUGCCCCGCCUGGGGAGUACGGCCGCAAGGCUAAAACUCAAAGGAAUUGACGGGGGCCCGCACAAGCGGCGGAGCAUGUGGCUUAAUUCGACGCAACGCGAAGAACCUUACCAAGGCUUGACAUACACCGGAAAGCAUCAGAGAUGGUGCCCCCCUUGUGGUCGGUGUACAGGUGGUGCAUGGCUGUCGUCAGCUCGUGUCGUGAGAUGUUGGGUUAAGUCCCGCAACGAGCGCAACCCUUGUCCCGUGUUGCCAGCAACUCUUCGGAGGUUGGGGACUCACGGGAGACCGCCGGGGUCAACUCGGAGGAAGGUGGGGACGACGUCAAGUCAUCAUGCCCCUUAUGUCUUGGGCUGCACACGUGCUACAAUGGCCGGUACAAUGAGCUGCGAUACCGCAAGGUGGAGCGAAUCUCAAAAAGCCGGUCUCAGUUCGGAUUGGGGUCUGCAACUCGACCCCAUGAAGUCGGAGUCGCUAGUAAUCGCAGAUCAGCAUUGCUGCGGUGAAUACGUUCCCGGGCCUUGUACACACCGCCCGUCACGUCACGAAAGUCGGUAACACCCGAAGCCGGUGGCCCAACCCCUUGUGGAGGGAGCUUCGAAAG
This 1155-nucleotide ribosomal RNA is filed under the name Streptomyces sp. Its description in RNAcentral is "bacterial SSU rRNA". It matches the Rfam family "Bacterial small subunit ribosomal RNA", at positions 301 to 1461 of the family's 1533-position model. Lineage: Bacteria; Bacillati; Actinomycetota; Actinomycetes; Kitasatosporales; Streptomycetaceae. The record is from RNAcentral.